CUGAUCUCGGCGUUCAGUCGUGCGUGAUUUUGGAUUUGCACCUCGCCCUUGGGCAAGUGCAGAAUCCUGGGGUUAUACAAAGCACAUCACAGUUAACCCCUUUGUCCCAGUCCGCAGAAUGAGAGCUCGGAGCCCGGCCAUGGGUGGCUCGGUUAUAUAGGCAGGAAAAUCAAGGAACCCAGGUGUGAGCAGGGGCGUUUGUGGCGCGGAGAGAGCUCCUGUCCUUGCCGUCCACCUAUUUCUCAGGCUUGGCCCCUGGCGUGUAGAAAACCGCAUCUCCGGAAAACCCAGAAAGUUACGUCGCCCAGGUACUCUCUUGUCAUUCUCCGGGAUGUAAAAGACUCAGGGUCUCUUCACGGAUCACUGAAACCGCCUUCUCCGAGGCCUCCAGGGUGACUAAAGAGAGGGUGCUUCCCACACUCAACUCGAGAGAUACUGGAAUUAAGGAAAUGUCC
Molecule: long non-coding RNA, 455 nt
Filed under: Homo sapiens (human)
Lineage: Eukaryota; Metazoa; Chordata; Mammalia; Primates; Hominidae
Description: HSALNT0102981
Source: RNAcentral